GUCAGUUUGUCAUCAUUUUUAUCUAGACAUAGGAUAGGUUGUGUGAAAAUAUUACUGAUGUUUAACGUUAAAAAUGGACCAAAAGAUUAAUGCUAAACAACAUUUGACAUGUUUGAACGAACAUAAAUAGAUUAUUUACUAGUUUCUUUUAGCUUUUCGGCGUGAUUUUACCAGCCCCACACCACGUUUUGUGGGAGCAUAAUGAACGCUAAGUACUUGGUGUUAUUUGGACAUAAAUUAUGAACUUUGUCAAAAGAAACCACAUUUGUUCCGGACCUGGAAUGCCUUCCGGACCUGGGAUCCUGCCUUCUGAUGGAGAUAAUCAAAGCCUUGUUAGCAAUCCCGGCUCGGGGUUCAUUGCUAACCUGUAGCCCCAACAGGUUAAUGAAGUAGAAGUCCUGGGAGUGCAUUCUGACGAAGAACACCAAAGAGGACCUGAGCCCUAGGACCAUGCCUCAGGACUACCUGGCCUGAUGACUCCUUGCUGUCCCCAGUCCACCUGGCCGUGCUGCUGCUCAAGUUUCAACUGUUCUGCCUGCGGCUAUGGAACCCUGACCUGUUCACCGGACGUGCUACCUGUCCCAGACCUGCUGUUUUCAACUCUCUAGAGACAGCAGGAGCGGUAGAGAUACUCUGAAUGAUCGGCUAUGAAAAGCCAACUGACAUUUACUCCUGAGGUGCUGACCUGUUGCACCCUCGACAACCAAUGUGAUUAUUAUUAUUUGACCCUGCUGGUCAUCUAUGAACAUUUGAACAUCUUGGCCAUGUUCUGUUAUAAUCUCCACGGCACAGCCAGAAGAGGACUGGCCACCCCUCAUAGCCUGUUUCCUCUCUAGGUUUCUUCCCAGGUUCUGGCCUUUCUAGGGAGUUUUUCCUAGCCACCAUGCUUCUACACCUGCAUUGCUUGCUCUUUGGGGUUUUAGGCUGGGUUUCUGUACAGCACUUUGUGACAUCAGCUCAUGUAAGAAGGGCUUUAUAAAUACAUUUGAUUGAUUGAUUACCAUGUAUGUCAUUACCCUGGAUAGCUCCAAGUAGUGUCAUUACCCUGGAUAGCUCCAAUACGUUUCAGUACCCUGGAUAGCUCCAGUACGUUUCAGUACCAUGGAUAGCUCCAAUACGUUUCAGUACCCUGGAUAGCUCCAAGUAGAGUCAUUACCCUGGACAGCUCCAAGUAGUGUCAAUACCCUGGAUAGCUCCAAGUAUCGUCAUUACCCUGGAUAGCUCCAAGUAUUGUCAUUACCCUGGAUAGCUCCAAGUAUUGUCAUUACCCUGGAUAGCUCCAAUAAGUUUCAUUACCCUGGACAGCUCCAAGUAGUGACAUUACCCUGGAUAGCUCCAAGUAGUGACAUUACCCUGGAUAGAUCCAAGAAGUUUCAUUUCCCUGGACAGCUCCCUAAGUAGUGUCAGUACACAAAUCAAAUCUAAUCAAAUGUUCUUUGUCACAUGCACCAAAUACAACAGGUGUAGACCUUACAGUGGAAUGCUUACUUAUGAACCCUUAAUCAACAAUGCAGUUUUAAGAAAAAUACCUACAAAAAUAAGAAAUAAAAGUAACAAAAAAAUUAAAGAGCAGCAGUAAAAUAACAAUAGCGAGGCUAUAUACAGGGGGUACCAUUACAGAAUCAAUGUGUGGGGGCACCGGUUAGUUGAGAUAAUUGAGGUAAUAUAAACAUGUAGUAGAAUUUUUAAAGUGACUAUGCAUAGAUACUAAACAAAAUGGCAGCAGCGAAAAAGAGGGUGGGGGUGGGGGAGCAAUGCAAAUAGUCUGGGUAGCCAUUUGAUUAGAUGUUCAGGAGUCUUAUGGCUUUGGGGUAGAAGAUGUUUAGAAGCCUCUUGGACCUAGACUUGGCGCUCUGGUACCACCUGCCAUGCGGUAGCAGACAGGACAGUCAAUGACUAGGGUGGCUGGAGUCUUUGACAGUUUUUAGGGUUUUCUUUGACACCACCUGGAAUAGAGUUCCUGGAUGGCAGGAAGCUUGGCCCCAGUGAUGUACUGGGCCAUACGCACUACCCUCUGUAGUGCCUUGCGGUUGUAAGCCGAGCAGUUGCCAUACUAGGCAGUGAUGCAAGCAGUCAGGAUGCUCUCGAUGGUGCAGCUGUAGGACCUUUGAGGAUCUGAGGACCCAUGCCAAAUCUUUUCAGUCUCCUGAGGGGGAAUAGGUUUUGUCAUGCCCUCUUCAUGACUGUCUUGGUGUGCAUGGACCAGGUUAGUUUGUUGGUGAUGUAGGCACCAAGGUUCUUGAAGCUCUCAACCUGCUCCGCUACAGUCCCGUCAAUGAGAAUGGGGGCGUUCUCGGUCCUCCUUUUCCUGUAGUCCACAAUCAUCUCCUUUGUCUUGAUCACAUUGAGGGAGAGGUUGUUAUACUGGCACCACACAGCCAGGUCUCUAACCUCCUUCCUAUAGGCUGUCUCAUCGUUGUCGGUGAUCAGGCCUCCCACUGUUUCCUCCGGAAACUUAAUGAUGGUGUUGGAGUCCUUCCUGGCCAUGCAGUCAUGAGUGAACAGGGAGUACAGGAGUGGCUGAGCACGCACCACUGAGGGGCCCCCGUGUUGAGGAUCAGCAUGGCGGAUAUGUUGUUACCUACCCUUACCACCUGGGGGCGUCCCGUCAGGAAGUCCAGGAUCCAGUUGCAGAGGGAUGUGUUUAGUCCCAUUGUCCUUAGCUUAGUGAUGAGUUUUGAGGGCACUAUGGUUUUGAACUAGUCAAUGAAUAGAAUUCUCACAUAAGUGUUACUUUUGUCCAGGUGUGGAGGGUAGUGUGGAGUGCAAUAGAGAUUGCAUCAUCUGUGGAUCUGUUUGGGUGAUAUGCAAAUUGGAGUGGGUCUAGGGUUUCCGGGAUAAUGGUGUUGAUGUGAGCCAUGACCAGCCUUGCAAAGCACUUCAUGGCUACAGACAUGAGUGCUACGGAUUGGUAGUCAUUUAGGCAGGUUACCUUCGUGUUCUUGGGCACAGGGACUAUGGUAGUCUGCUUGAAACAUGUUGGUAUUACAGACUCAGACAUGGAGAGGAUGAACAUUUCAGUGAAGAUACUUGCCAGUUGGUCAGUGCAUUCCCGGAGUACAUGUCCUCGUAAUCCGUCUGGCCCUGCGGCCUUGUGAAUGUUGACCUGUUUAAAGAUCUUACUCACAUCGGCUAUGGAGAGCGUGAUCACACAUUCAUACGGAACAGCUGAUGCUCUCACGAAUGUUUCAGUGCUAAUUGCCUUGAUGCGAGCAUGGAAGAAAUUUGGCUUGUCUUUUCGGCUUGUGUCACUGAGCAACUGUAUUGACUCAUUGCCUGUUUGAUGGUUCGUCGGAGGGCAUAGUGGGAUUUGUUUUUAUAUAUAUAUAUAUAUAUAUAUAUAUAUAUAUAUAUAUAUAUAUACUUAUUGAUGAAGCCAGUGACUGAUGUGGUGUACUCCUCAAUGCCAUCGGAAGAAUCCCGGAACAUAUUCCAAUCUAUGCUAGCAAAACAGUCCUGCAGUUUAGCAUCUGCCUCAUCUGACCACUUUUUUAUUGACAUAGUCACUGGUGCUUCCUGCUUUAGUUUUUGCUUGUAAUCAGGAAUCAGGAGGAUAGAAUUAUGGUCAGAUUUCCCAAAUGGAGGGCGAGAGAGAUCUUUGUACGCGUCUCUGUGUGGAGUAAAGGUGGUCUUGAGUUUUUUUCCCUCUGGUUGCACAUUUAAUAUGCUGGUAGAAAUUAGGUAAAACGGAUGUAAGUUUCCCUGCAUUAAAGUCCCCGGCCUCUUGGAGCAUCGCCUCUGGAUGAGUGUUUUCUUUUUUGCUUGUGGCCAUUGAUUGUGGUGGUAAAUAGACAGCUCCGAAGAAUAAUUCACUUUGUUACAGAUGGCAAAGGCAGAUUAGCCACUCGUCGAGCGAAUCCUUACAAGGCACCCCGAUCUCCUUCCGCAAUAUCUCCGUCUCUUCCUCCUGCGAAUGACGGGGAUGAGGGCCUUGUCUGGAGUCUGGAGUAUAUCCCUCUCGUCCGACUCAUUAAAGAAAAAUAAUUUGUCCAGUUCAAGGUGAGUAAUCGCUGUUCUGAUGUCCUGAAGCUCUUUAUGGUCAUAAGAGAUGGUAGCAGCAACAUUAUGUACGGUUGGUUAAGAACCCAUAAAACGGCAGCCAUCCCCUCUGGUGGCAUCUUCACAGUACGUUGGAUAGCUCCCUAAUCACUCCAAGUAGUUGCAGUGCCCUGGAUAUCUCCCGGACAUUUCAGUGCUUUGGAAGAUUGCCAUUCACAUCCAGCCAUUUCAGUACCUUGGAUAGUUCUCUAUUCACUCCCAGUCAUUUCAGCACCAUUUACAAAAGAGUAUCUCUCAAAAACUCACUCUCAGCACGUGACUGGGCCUGAUGUCUUCCAUAACUUCACAGUCACACUAACUCUCCACUCUCAUGUUCUUUUCAUGUUGCCAUAAUAAUGAAUGAUGGGACUGAUGUUUAGCUUGAAUUAUUGAAUACCGUGGUUUCCAACCACUCACUGUACGAUGGAAAGGACAUCUGAGUUCAAGUGACUUUGUAGUGGUACAAAACCAGUUUUCUGGUUAUUUUCUAAACUCAACCAAUUGAACGCAAUUGAUGCAAAUACCCAAAUGUCAGCUUUCAUCUACCCAUUACAUCAGAGAGGUAGAUAUUGUGUUCAGAGUUUAGUUUUAGAUUGAUAUUUCAACACUAUCUGGGUUCACUCUAUGUACCAUUCCAAAAGGUGUGAAAUAGAAUCCUGCCAACUGAAACUGUGAGGACUGGCAAUUAUAUGGUUUGAGAUUUAGGUAAGGAAGGCUAUUUUGUGACUUUUCUACAAUGCCUUAUUUUCUCUAAGCUACUGGAGGCCUUAAUGCUCAUGUUGUGUUCUUUGUAACUAUGACAACAAUUGUUCAUAUGAUGUAAAAACAUUGCUAACUUAAAUAGAACAGGAAUAGAACGUCCCCAUCCCAAACACCACAAGGCAGGACUAAUGGACUACUGAAUGGCAGGGCCACUCUCCUAUUAAUAACAUGGUUAAAUCCAUAUCACUCAUGAGUUUCCUAUUAACUUUUUAGUUGUUAGCAUUAGAUGUGCUGCCAAACCAUUGGUUUAGAGCAGGGCUGUUCAAUUCUGGUACUGGAGGGCCAAAACACUUUGUGUUUUCAUCCUCUGGAUCAUUCUGGAUAAUAUUGUGCAUAGACAUUUGAUAUGUUACUUUCCAUGUUUCUUCCCAAGAAUUAUGUAGACUAUUAUUCUUCACAAUUAAAAUCCAAGCCCUUUAUUCAUUGAUAUGUUUUCCUUGUCUUCAUGAACUAAUUUACGCAAACAUGACUCCAUUAGGUUAAUCCCGGGUGAUAAAACAUUAACACAGAGGAAAACGCAUUUUUGAAUUCUCCGGCUUCCCCUUCUGAGUAAGAGGUACCCUGGGAGCCUGAAGUUUAAGUGUUUCUUAGAAGGAGGAGCGGAAGGCACACUGGUUUAACAUUAUGCACACGAGAGCAGAAUGUGUUAGAGGCAGGAAUACAUAUUUGACAGUGAGUGAGGAAAGUGGUGCACUUCAGAGGCGAUGGUGAUGCACUGAGCAACAACAGGUUGUGAGAGCGUUGGAGUGGAAAUACUCCUACAAUAGCCAUUGCUCUGUUGUUAAGGGAUGUAAAAACACUGUUUCACUUCAGCACGUGACAUGUAGUGGUUAGAAUGUGUAUUUCAUAUAGAGGCCAAACUCUAUUACUCGCUGUCAAGUUAUAAUCAAAAUGGUGCAGUUACGGGAUGAUUUGCCGUUUAAUUGUCAUGACAAUUUCCAACCAUCCACUAGGGGCAAUGCUAGUGCCUGUUACCAUCCAAUAUAGGCUGAUGGGGGUACGGAUUGGCUAAAACUGCCAGCCAUGGCUCCGAGCAUCACACGUUCAAUCCCAAUGCUACUCGUUUCGUCAUUUUAAUUUUUCUGUUUCAACCCUAUAACAAACCUUAAACCUAACCUUAACCACAGAAUGAAUUUCUAAGCUUAUGAUGCUUGUAUAACCUUUUCCAUCAAAGGCCAAUAAAAUAAUUACGCUCUUGAUAAACUCAAUUGAUGGACUUUGCAAAACAACACACUGUGUUAUAACAAAUGUUAGUUCCUUGUAGAAAAGUCUAUGAAGCUCCAGUAUAACAACAAAGACAAGUCAUGUUAAUUCAAUAGUCGUAGCAAGAUAUCACAAGUAAGCAUCAUCGUGGCAAUUAGCGGCCGUUGUGAAAGCGCUCUGUGACCAAGUGAGGAUUCUAAUUACCUGAUCAUGACACAAUUAGAAAGAAAAACAAUAAAUUCUCACAAAGCUCCCAGCAAAUAAUUACUGAUCCUGGAUAUAAAUUAGUUUUCUUCUUGUUAAAGCUUUUCCAGGUUGAACGGCCGACAAAUUGUUUUGACAAGGCAGAGAAGGAGAGAAGCGAUCAGGACAGAGAGAUUACUAGGAGCUGACUAGGCUAUAGGUGGUCAAGCUGAAGGCAGGCCUUUCAUAUCAACACAGAGACUACAAAUGUGCUUUGAAGGAGAAUAUAGUGUGGAGGGGUCUUGAACCAGUGAGUGACCCACAAUUGUCUCAUCAAAAGUCCACAAUUAACUCGAUGCAUAUGAAACAAUAACUGUUUGAAGAGUCUGAUUGUCUAUUGUGGUCUAUUGUAGGUGUCACGUUCUGACCAGUAAAGGGGUUAUUUGUUAUUACUAGGUUGGUUAGGACGUGGCAGGGGGUUUUUGUUUUAUGUGGUUUGGGGUUUGUUGGGUUAUGUUAUUAUGUAAGAGGGGCGUUUGUUUAGAGUGUUCCGGGGUUUUUGGGCUAUGUUCUUGUUAGUUUAUUUCUAUGUUAGUUCUAGUCUUUCUAUGUCUAUGUUUAGUUAAUGGGGUUGACCUUCAAUUGGAAGCAGCUGCUCCUCGUUGCUUCUAAUUGAAGGUCUUAUUUAAGAGGGGUGGUUUUUCUAUGGUAUUUGUGGGUAGUUGUCUCCUGUUUAGUGUCUGAGCACCUGAUAGGACUGUUAGUGUCGUUCAUUUGUUUUGUAUACGUGAUUUGUUUGUUUUUCCUUCUUCGCAUUAAAAAGAAGAUGAGUAUACACGUU
RNAcentral lists this long non-coding RNA (7027 nucleotides) under Salmo salar (Atlantic salmon). Its description in RNAcentral is "lncRNA (ENSSSAG00000116746.1)". Lineage: Eukaryota; Metazoa; Chordata; Actinopteri; Salmoniformes; Salmonidae. The record is from RNAcentral.